This is an RNA transcript of Onychostruthus taczanowskii (white-rumped snowfinch), 2448 nucleotides long. It is a transcript of the gene named acyl-CoA synthetase short chain family member 3, with no coding region annotated. The record is from RefSeq and is a predicted model, not a curated record. The transcript is spliced from 17 exons. NCBI's taxonomy places the organism in Eukaryota, Metazoa, Chordata, Aves, Passeriformes, Passeridae.
GGCGGUGGCAGCCGGGGGCCGGGCCGGGGCGCGGGCGGGGCAGCUCAGCUCGGCCCGGCCCGCCGCGGGGGCAGUCCUGCCGUGCCCCGCCGGCCCCGGGAGCCGCUGCCGUUCCGUCCCGUGCCGGCCGAGGGCGUUUUGGAGCCUUAGGGAAGCCAGUGCGUCCCCUCCCCAUUGGAGGCCGUGGAAGAUGGGUUUCCUGGGCAAGCUGGCCGCGCUGCCAAAACUUAGCGGUGUGGUGGCGGGCCGGGGCGGUGGUGCCUGGCGGCGGCCGGGCCGGCCCUGUGCGGGCGUCCCGCUCCCGGCCCGGGCCACCGCCACCCUCCGCCCGCCGCCCGGCGGCCGCGCCGCCUCCUCCCGGGCGCUCGGCAAGUACGAGGAAGUUUUUCGGUCCUGCCUGGCGGAGCCCGAGAAGGUCUGGGGAGAAGUCGCCGAGCAGAUCCAGUGGUACAAGCCCUGGGUGCGGACCCUGGAGAGGGACAGCCUGGGCAGCGCCUCCUGGUUUGUAGGUGGAGAGCUGAAUAUCUGUUACAACGCUGUAGAUCGUCAUGUUGAGAAUGGACGAGGAGACCAAAUUGCCAUUAUUUAUGACAGUCCUGUAACAAAUACCAAGGACAAAAUAACAUAUAAGGAACUUCUGGAACAGGUCUCCAAGUUAGCUGAUGUCAUGAUCAAACAUGGUGUGAAGAAAGGAGAUCGUGUGGUCAUCUACAUGCCCAUGAUUCCACAGACAAUGUACUGUAUGCUGGCUUGUGCGAGAAUAGGAGCCAUCCAUAGCCUGAUUUUUGGUGGAUUUGCAUCUAAAGAGCUUUCAGUUCGCAUUGAUCAUGCAAAGCCCAAACUUAUUGUAACAGCAAGUUUUGGAGUAGAACCAAAAAGGAAAGUGGAAUACAUACCUCUCCUAGAAGCAGCACUGGCAAGGGUACAGAGCAAACCUCAUAAAGUUCUCGUUUACCAGCGACCUAAUUUGGGCCAUGUUCCUCUUACCAAAGGUCGUGAUCUGGACUGGGAAGAAGAGCUUGCAAAAGCCCAGUGUUCAAAAUGUGUCUCUGUUCCCUCAGACCAUCCACUUUAUAUUCUGUAUACAUCUGGAACAACAGGUUUGCCCAAGGGUGUUGUGAGACCAACUGGUGGCUAUGCAGUUAUGCUGAACUGGACCAUGUCAGCUGUAUAUGGCCUCAAACCUGGUGAGGUAUGGUGGGCAGCUUCUGAUUUAGGCUGGGUUGUUGGUCAUUCCUACAUUUGCUAUGGACCUCUCCUUCAUGGUAAUACUACAGUUUUGUAUGAGGGGAAGCCUGUGGGAACGCCAGAUGCUGGUGUCUAUUUCCGUGUGCUAGCAGAGCAUGAAGUAGCUGCCUUCUUUACUUCACCAACUGCAAUUAGAGCAAUCCGUCAGCAGGACCCUGAGGCAGCCUUAGGAAAGCAGUACUCGCUGAAAAGGUUCAGAAUGAUGUUUGUAGCUGGUGAGCACUGUGAUGUGGACACGCUAGAAUGGGCAAAAAGAGUCUUCAAGGUACCUGUCUUGGACCACUGGUGGCAAACAGAAUCUGGUUCUGCAAUUACGGCUUCCUGCAUUGGUUUGGGGAACUCUACAACACCUCCACCCGGACAGGCGGGAAAACCGGUGCCAGGAUAUAAUGUCAUGAUUCUGGAUGAAAAUAAGAAACCAGUGAAGGCAAAGACUUUGGGAAAUAUUGUGGUAAAGUUGCCUUUGCCUCCUGGAGCAUUCUCAGGUCUUUGGGAAAAUCAAGAAACAUUUCAGAAAUUGUAUUUCCAAAAGUUUCCAGGAUAUUAUGAUACUAUGGAUGCUGGUUAUGUGGAUGAAGAUGGCUAUCUGUAUGUGCUGUCUCGAGCUGAUGAUGUGAUCAAUGUUGCUGGACACAGAAUUUCUGCAGGUGCAAUUGAAGAGUGUAUUCUCUUCCAUCCCGCUGUGGCAGACUGUGCUGUUGUGGGCCAGGAGGAUCCUUUAAAAGGGCAUGUUCCAUUUGCACUGUGUGUACUGAAAGGAGGUAUAAAGACACAAGAGAGUAAGAUUUUGGAAGAGAUUGUUGAGCGAGUUCGGACCAACAUUGGUCCAGUAGCAGCUUUCCAGAAGGGGAUGUUUGUGACACAGCUACCAAAAACACGCUCUGGCAAGAUCCCACGUUCUGCUCUUUCUGCCCUCAUCAGUGGAAAGCCAUACAAGUUCACUGCAGCUUGACAGCAUUUACCUUUUUCACCCUGAUGGUUUCUUUGCUAUGGACUAGCUGCUUCCAGCUGUCAUUCAUAUAUUUUUGGAAUGCUGCUUCUCCAUUUGUUUUUACAAAUCCUCUUUUGAACUCUUCACAGCUCUCCCAGACUCGAUUCACCCUAGUUAAAUGAACAAAGUCGUGGUGGUGCGAGACAGACAUAGGUUAAAAGUCAACUUGGCACGCUAGGCCGAGCCUCGUACUUUCCAAGAGGAAGUGC